This is a long non-coding RNA of Oncorhynchus keta (chum salmon), 1652 nucleotides long. RefSeq lists it as uncharacterized. The transcript is spliced from 3 exons. NCBI's taxonomy places the organism in Eukaryota, Metazoa, Chordata, Actinopteri, Salmoniformes, Salmonidae. The record is from RefSeq and is a predicted model, not a curated record.
GAGACUACAACACUACACAGGUAACCUACUGAGACUACAACACUACACAGGUAACCUACUGAGACUACAACACUACACAGGUAACCUACUGACACUACACAGGUAACCUACUGAGACUACAACACUACACAGGUAACCUACUGAGACUACAACACUACACAGGUAACCUACUGAGACUACACAGGUAACCUACUGAGACUACUACACUACACAGGUAACCUACUGAGACUACAAAGGUAACCUACUGAGACUACUACACUACACAGGUAACCUAGUGAGACUACUACACUACACAGGUAACCUACUGAGACUACUACACUACACAGGUAACCUACUGAGACUACACAGGUAACCUACUGAGACUACAACACUACACAGGUAACCUACUGAGACUACACAGGUAACCUACUGAGACUACUACACUACACAGGUAACCUACUGAGACUACAACACUACACAGGUAACCUACUGAGACUACACAGGUAACCUACUGAGACUACACAGGUAACCUACUGAGACUACUACACUACACAGGUAACCUACUGAGACUACUACACUACACAGGUAACCUACUGAGACUACACAGGUAACCUACUGAGACUACUACACUACACAGGUAACCUACUGAGACUACUACACUACACAGGUAACCUACUGAGACUACUACACUACACAGGUAACCUACUGAGACUACACAGGUAACCUACUGAGACUACAACACUACACAGGUAACCUACUGAGACUACACAGGUAACCUACUGAGACUACAACACUACACAGGUAACCUACUGACACUACACAGGUAACCUACUGAGACUACAACACUACACAGGUAACCUACUGAGACUACAACACUACACAGGUAACCUACUGAGACUACACAGGUAACCUACUGAGACUACUACACUACACAGGUAACCUACUGAGACUACACAGGUAACCUACUGAGACUACAACACUACACAGGUAACCUACUGAGACUACAACACUACACAGGUAACCUACUGAGACUACACAGGUAACCUACUGAGACUACACAGGUAACCUACUGAGACUACUACACUACACAGGUAACCUACUGAGACUACAACACUACACAGGUAACCUACUGAGACUACACAGGUAACCUACUGAGACUACUACACUACACAGGUAACCUACUGAGACUACUACACUACACAGGUAACCUACUGAGACUACAACACUACACAGGUAACCUACUGAGACUACUACACUACACAGGUAACCUACUGAGACUACACAGGUAACCUACUGAGACUACUACACUACACAGGUAACCUACUGAGACUACUACACUACACAGGUAACCUACUGAGACUACUACACUACACAGGUAACCUACUGAGACUACUACACUACACAGGUAACCAACUGACACUACACAGGUAACCUACUGACACUACACAGGUAACCUACUGACACUACACAGGUAACCUACUGACACUACACAGGUAACCUACUGACACUACACAGGUAACCUACUGACACUACACAGGUAACCUACUGACACUACACAGGUAACCUACUGACACUACACAGGUAACCUACUGAGACUACACAGGUAACCUACUGACACUACACAGGUAACCUACUGACACUACACAGGUAACCUACUGACACUACACAGGUAA